RNAcentral lists this long non-coding RNA (830 nucleotides) under Medicago truncatula (barrel medic). RNAcentral's name for it is "long non-coding RNA (MTRU_LNC002132)". Lineage: Eukaryota; Viridiplantae; Streptophyta; Magnoliopsida; Fabales; Fabaceae. The record is from RNAcentral.
AAUGUGAUAACUAAUUUUUUUUUUUCUUUCGGUGCAUCGUUAAUGAGAAUCUCUCCAAACCUAGAAAGAGAGAAAAACCACAUAGAUUAUGCAACGAUUAACAUUUAAUCCAGAAACAUUUUCUAGAAUCUAACAUCCAAAUACCAAUUAGCACUUGCAUAUUAUGAUUAGGAUUGUUAUCAGUAUCAAUCGCCUCAUCCUAAAUUAUACCAAAUUAAAACUGUUGAAACAAACAACAUGAUAGGUGCUUCGGUGCCCUUUAUUUUCAAAAUAAUAAUAAUAAUGGUGUCCUGAACUGCUGCUCCUCGAUCCCACCCAUGACCUGAAGUAAAGUUCCUUCAACUCCUUAUAGAGUAAGAUGAGAACGAUUCUGAUUAACAUAGCUCCGUAGUUAAUUGAAAGAACUUGUUUUCCGAUGAGCAUGCACAAAACAACAGCAACUGCAAUAUAUUUCUUGGACUUGAUAUUCCUACACAAAAAUUAAACACAGAUUUGAGAUUGAUUUUCGUUCUUGAAAUUAUAACUCAUAAGAAAAAGUAGUAGUAAAUGAAACUUACAUGAACAGAAACGACAAUGCUUGAGUGACAGGAAAACAUAUGACUAGAAAAAGUUUGAAGAAGAAUGAAAGAAUAGAGCGGCAUAAAAGAUAUAUAAAACAGUAACAUAAUAGGGUUAGAAUUAAACACAGAAGUAUUUGAGUAGCUUCCAUUAUUUCUCUGCAAAAUAUACACAGAAAUAGAAUAGAAUUAGGGUUAGGGUUAGUUAGAUUAAUAAAUAUUUUAUAACUAAAUAACUAGUUUGUUAGAAGGAUUAACGAAGCACAUACCGAG